Non-coding RNA from Meleagris gallopavo (turkey), 2347 nucleotides. Lineage: Eukaryota; Metazoa; Chordata; Aves; Galliformes; Phasianidae. The record is from RefSeq and is a predicted model, not a curated record.
UUGCUGCAAUUGGCCCUUUGGGUUUCUGGAGGUUGAGUACAUAACUGCUGCUAUUUCCUAUUGUGUUGUACCCUGCCUCGCUGAAAAGAAAAUAACUUGAGGGAAGACGGGGUUAUUUUUGCCAGCUUGAAAUGAUCAAGUUUGAUUUCUAAAAACCCGAGUCUUUAGGCUUGUACGUUAGAAACAGCAUUGGAACCACAUCGCUGUUCAAGUGCGCUUUGCCGAUGGUAGGAACUCUGAAAUGCAUUCAUAAAAGAGAAACAGCUCUUCUGUUCCUGCGAUGCAGCCCCUUUUGUAGAACCCAGGGUGCCUGUUCAGUGCCGGGAUCCUGCCUGGUGUUGGCGUUAGGGCUGAUGGAGCUCUGUGCCUGUGGCUCAGCCCGCACUGCCUGGGCUCUGGGCACAGCCAGAAGGGCUUUACUUUAAGCUGCUGGGAGUUAAGCGGUUUGUCUUCCCAGACAAUGCGUGUGUGGACACAUCUCCUGCAAGGAAAAUGACGUGGUGUGCUGGCAGCUGAUGUAGGCAGCUAUGGGGUGCUCUGUCCUCCCGUGUUUAGCUUGCCGUCUCAUCAGCUCUGAGAAGACCUCUGGCUUUGCUGUGAGUGCAUGGCAGUGCUGCAGGCCAGGCAUUCCCUGUGCUGUGCAGAGCUUUGGGCCAAAAGGGCCAGGGCGGUCCCUUCAAACCUUGAUCAGAGCAUUACUUGCUUUCUGCUGGUCCCUAAGCAGCAUUUCUUGCCUGCUCCAUAGCAUUCUUCAUGUGCUGGUUUGCUGUGGCUAGCAGUGCAGGCCCAGCUGUUCGCACUGGUCCUCCUUUUCCUACUGCCUGGAAUCUCUGUGUUAUGCAAGGAGAGAAAAUCCAUGAAUACUUGUAACCUGUAACUGUAACAGCAGCAGCCCAACGAGGUGGCUGAAGGGGCAGGGUGAUGGGCACAGAACAGGGUCUGUUGCUCUCCUGUGCUUCUCUCACACCCCUCAGUGUGAGAGAUGCUCAGUGAUGCUCUGGCUCAAACCUCAUUCGCUUUUUUGCCUCCUCCCCAAUCUAAAAUAGAGAUAGCAGAAGUGUGCCAGCAAACCAAACGGUAGUGGAUGGGGGUUCUUGUUGCUCUGUCUUAUAGAAGCCCACCCUAAAGGAGUCGGCGCUUUCCUUGAGUGAGAAUUUCCUUAAAACACGUUGCUUCAAGAGCAGGGAGUGUGAAGGGGCGUGGGGAAAUGUCCUGCAGGAGGGAGGACAGCUGGGUUUGCUGGGGCUGGUGUUCAGCCUCCAUACCUUUUAGGGACGGGAUGGGCACAUUUGACACGAUCACAUUUGUACUUGGCAAUUAGCAGUAGCUGUAAGCGCUGACGAUGCUGUGACCAGCAGGGUAGUUAACGUGUCUCUUUGUGUUUGACCACGCAGGCAGCGUGCCCCUCCAGUCCCUGCACAGGAAUCCUGCCCUGCUGCUGGUUGUGGAGAGCCGUCCAGAGCCCUUAUCGUUGGGAUCCUGCUGUGCUCCUGAGGCGCUGUGUUAUUCAGCACAGCGAGGCCGAGCAGCCGCCUUGCUUGCAGGGUUAGCAGGGCGAUAAAUCACAGCCAAAGGGGCUGAAACCCUGAGUGAAGAGUGCGAGUCGACUCAGAAGCAGACCAAGCUCUGUCUCCAGGCGGGACCGAGCGCCGGCCCAUCGCCAGCCUGAUGCUGCAGGAAACACGGAGCCUUCUGGGAGCUGUAGUUCAAGCGGACGCCGAUUGAGUGACCCAAAAUGUGAGAGCCUGGUGCAGCUGCCGCUCCUCCUGGCAGGCACAGCUCGUUGCCAGGGCUCUGUGCAGACCAUCUAGCAUGCUCCUCCAAGCGGGCCGUGCAGCUGGCGCCUGCAGCAGCCGUUCCAUUCCGGGGACACCGGGCUGAGCUCACACCAACUGGGCAUCGCACCCGCAGAGCUGAGCUGUCUUGGGCUGGCACAGCCUCAGACUGGAAGAUCUGCUGUUUACCAAUCAACACUCUGCUGCUUUGGACCCCUCUUCCUCUGCCUGCAUACUUAUGAAGAGUCGGUGCUGGGCAUUGAGUGCAGCUCAGCCCAACUCAGCUGAUGUGCAUGAGUUUCUUCUGUGUUAAAGUUGGGCCAGAACCUCUUUCAAGGCAGCUGAAAGAAGGUAAAGAUCCUCAGGCUUGCCUUUGCAUGUUCAUGUUUGUGGCCAGAAAGGUGUGCUGCUGUUCUGGACUUUGCUGAAGCGUAGCAUGAAGUAUGAGGUCCUGUUAUGUGCUGGUCGAGGUUUCCAGGUUAAAUUAUCUUGUUACCUCCUUAAUAGCCCAUCUAGAAAACUGUGUCCAGGCACCUAAUUUCAUUUAAUUAGAUCUCCACAAGUGGAUCAGC